Molecule: non-coding RNA, 1580 nt
Organism: Camellia sinensis
Lineage: Eukaryota; Viridiplantae; Streptophyta; Magnoliopsida; Ericales; Theaceae
Source: RefSeq, a predicted model, not a curated record
AAGGGUAAUUUUUCUGUUUUAUUAGCUUCGAUCGGUGUUCAGCUUCAAUCCGGAUCAAUCCUUGUUCGGCCUCAUACCAGAAUUGAUUUUCACCUCAUAUCAGAAUUGAUCUUUGUACUGAUCUUCAGCUUCAAUCGACCUUCACCUUUCAGAAUCGAUCAAUCUCUGUACUGAACCCAACCAGACUGAAUCGAUCGAUCGAUCGAUCUCUGUACUGAACCCAACCAGACCUUCACCUUUAAGAAUCGAUCGACCUCAUACCAGACUCCUCUUGCCCUAACUUGUCAACUAUGUUCUCUCCUCCUCUUGCCCUAACUUGUCACGAUCGAUCUCAUAUUCAUGGCUCCAAUCCGAAGAUAUAUAUAAGUUUGAGACAAAUUUUUUGCAGCUCUACAAUCUGAUUUUAUGAAAUUUAGAGCUGGAAGUAUCUACAACUCAUGCAGGUUUAUAGAAGUUGAGGUGGCACAAAGAUAAACGCGUAGAGGAGAUAAAUGCCCUACUUGCAAGGAGCCUAGUUACAAAUUUCAUAAAAGUAAAGGUAAAAAGACACAUCCCAUGAGCCUAUGAAUAGACGGUGAUACAUCCCAUAGGACAACUCCUCCGGUAAUUGCCUCUUGUGAUAUAAUCACCAAAGUAAUGGAUGAUCAUGUGAAAAAGUCUUGGGACUUAGGCAUGUGUGAUAUGCCAAUGUGCCUAGUGCCCUUUCAGGUGGUGCAGUAAACAUCGGACUCGUUGAUUACACGUGGACGUGCAAGUUACCAACACUGCCUUUGUGUUCAGAAUUAUUAUCUAUUCAGACCACCUUAGUUUUAGUUUGCAUAACUUUUCAAGUUUGCACAUACUAAUCCCCUGCAUAUGGAUGUGUUCCAGAGUGUUGCUUGGUAUGAAGCAGAAGUGGUUGCGAUGACAGUCGCGCUACUUGAAGGUAAAGAAAAAGCUUCCGGAGGCCAGAUAUGUGGAAACAUGACAUCUGCAGGAACUGGAAUUAUAAUAUGUGGAAACAUGACAUCUGUUAGCAGUGAAAUCGUCACGUGACUUUAUGAAAGCUGAAAAAGGAAUUACAAUGCCAGAAAUCAUAGGAUAAUACCUGAAUCUGCGCACUCAGCAUAUGACAAAGAAGCACAAUAUUUCAAAAUCAAGUUGCGGCGUGUCCCCGUAAACAAUGAAUUUCUGGCAAAUGCCAGAGAUAUUAAAUGAUAUAUAAACAAAAAUACCAUAUUGAUUGUUGGAUCGGCACCUGGGUUCCCACAUGGGAUCAUUGACCCUAUUGAGGUACGUGACACUGAAUUUUGGUUAUAUGAAGAUCUGUAAUUCUCAUUGGUUCUUGCUUAUCACUUUGAAAUUUGUAGGAGCUUGCCGAACUAGCUUUUGGCUCUAGGGUUGUUUCCAUGUUGACCUUUGUCUUAGAGGUUUUGUAUUGCCUUUCGCUCGUAAACUUGGGUGUGUCUGGUUUGAUUUUUUCAUUGACUAGUAAGGUGUUGCUUUGUGAUGAAACUAUAUUGUGGCUAUUUUUUAUUUCAAGGCAUUUUUGCUUAUUGUUUUGCAGUUUCUCUUAAUAUUAUGCUACAGGAUUUGUGCUA